Long non-coding RNA from Cavia porcellus (domestic guinea pig), 4792 nucleotides. RefSeq lists it as uncharacterized. Lineage: Eukaryota; Metazoa; Chordata; Mammalia; Rodentia; Caviidae. The record is from RefSeq and is a predicted model, not a curated record. The transcript has 4 exons.
GAAUAAGAUAUUUUCAAACAGCUGUUCGGUUUAGUGAGUUUCCUUUAAUAAAAUUAACAACAUGGACUGUUUUUCUAUUUCUUUUUGAGAUUUGGUAUGUUAUCUUUGGCUGCCUAUGCCAAGACAUAUAAAAAACAUUAUGGCGGACCAUGUGGGGCCCAGGGAAAGAGAAGCCAGUCCGCUGUUCCCAUGAGUCAGCAGAGGCCAUGCUGGGUCUGGAAGGAGCAUGUCAAGAAGUGUGGUCUUCCCGUGAGCUGCACAAACCAGGCGGGGCCCAGGAAGAGAGAAGGCAGAUUGCUUUUCUCCCAUAAGUCUACUAGCAACAGGGCUGAGAAUCAAGAUCCUCUAACCGCAUGCCAAAGGAAACUGGCUGAUUCAGACAGGAUCGGUUGACAGCAACUGAGGUGGCAAAGAGAGCAGGCAGGGAGCCUGUCCACGUCUGGCUGCUGCUUUUAGGAUAUUAGAACUGCUCCCAGUAUGGUACGUUAACUGAUGAAGGAGGUAAGGGGUGCUGCCAGCUAGUGGUAACCGUGCUUUCCUCUCUCAGCCAUCCUGGUAUUGGGUUCAAUCUAGUGAUUUCUCCUUUAGUUCAAUUUUCCAUGUCUAGGUAUGUUUGCCUCCUCUGUUUCAGAAUACACGACCUGCCUUGUCUGUCAGCUUAUCUGCCAGCUUCCCUCAUCACCACCAUCUCUAGUUGGCCAUGAUAAUAACACCAAUAUUGUACACUUGUUUAAUUUUAUCACUAUUUAGUUCAGUUGUAUGAUACUCCAUGAAUUAUGUUACCACACACUUGACAUAAACGAAAAGUGUUGCUUCUUUUAUAAUAUCAGUGUCCUCAAAUUAGGUCUCCAAAUCUAUACUUGCUUAGAUAUUUUGUACAAUCAUACUGUUUUCACUAAGAGGAAGAGCUUAAUUUUAUGUUGAUUUAUCAUUAAAAAUUACACAUACUAUAUCCUUAAAUAAGGAAAGAAUAGUAUUCUUAGGAACUGUGUGAUUGAUUUUGUCUCUUACCACUCAGUAUAUAACUACAUAUGAGAAUGAUUUUCUUAUUUAUUUAUUUAUUAGUCUUUUUGAGACAGGCUCUUGCGAUGCAGUUUGAGCUGGCCUUGAGCUCACUUUGUAACCCAGGCUUGUCUCAAACUCUCAAUGAUCCUCCUGCCUCAGCCUCCUAAAUGCUGGGAUUACAGGCAUGUGCCAUUGUGCUUGGCUGACUUUCUUAUUUUACAUAUACACUAUAUGCAGCAGGCUUUUUUCUGUGGGCUUCAUAUGUAUUAUCUUCACAGUGCCAUGGACUAAUGAUCAUUAUUCUUAUUUUCUAGAUAAGGAAAUGAACUGGAGAGGAUAAAGUAAUUUGUUCAAAGUCUCAUAGUCUGUAGGAGGAAUUCUGGAAUUUGAACCCAGGCAAUUAACUUCAGAGUUUUGUUUGUGACCAAUAUAUCGGACUAUUUCUCAAAUUAGACAUUGUGUCGAUAUGUUAUGAUUUAUGUUAUGAAUUUUCCCCCUUACUUUAACGCAUUGGAGGAACUCAUCUGAAAAUCCAUAAUUACCAAAAUAAAAUCCAUUAGAUUCUGCCAUUUUCAAAGGAUUUUUCAUAAUAGAUAAAGCUUACAUUUUAAAUAAUCUUCAUUAUAAAAGUUUGGCUUGACUUUAAUUUUUUAUAAUGAUACAUUAAGUUAAAGUUUAUUGAUUAGAGCCAAUAUUUUGCAUAAUAUUGUUGAACUUGCAUACAAGCCUAUGGAAUUUGCACCUCAUUCUUAUUUUUGUCCUCUAAUAAUAUAGUGUCCUCUGUUUCAAUGAAAAGGUUACCACUGUUCAGUGAUUUUAAAAAGACCCACUUGGUGACAUCCUUUCUAGAAAAAGAUCUCACCAAUUUGUAAUGGAAACCCAAUUGAAAGUCUCUGUAAUUUUGCUGACAAGGGAAAUGAAAAUUAUGUUAAUAGAAAAUCAAAGUUCAUCAAAUUAACCUUCCUAUUAUGACAAUGGUCAAAGUGACCAUCAUCACCUGAGAAAUACAAUGAGAUGUCAUUGCACAGAAGAGCAGAUGUCUUGUUCCUAGCCAUCAUGUGCAUUCAUCACAUGCCCAUGCUGUCUCCCUUAUGCGUAUGGGAGCAAUUGGCCACAGCAUUUGCUACAACAUUUCUGUUGCCAAGAUUCCUGCUAUGAACUUAAAUAUUUUUCUGCUUAAUUUAAAAAAUGCUGGCUUGUGACCUCCUUCGCGGACUUUAUGAUACCCCAAGGAUGGAGCCAUUGGAUAUGAUCGCACUGCCCUGAUGCUGAGUUCAGCAGGGACUUGGAAGAAGAACCAGCAUCCAGGGUAAUACUGAAGUUGUCUUUGGAAGAAAAGAAAUGAAAUGAGAGCUGCAAGAUCUGAUGGUCAGGCAGCCAGAUCGUGCUAUGGGUGUGGAGUCUCCAAGUUCUUGGAUAAAUACAUUCUUGCUGUUGGAGUGAUAAGUGGUCAGUUAUUCACAUUCAACUCAUGUUCAAAUUGGUAGAUCUAUCGAAAAAACAACACAGAAGUUGGAUUUGGGUGAGGACAUGAAAUUGACCCUUGACCAACCUGGAUGAACUCAAGGUUAAACUAAGCAUCAUGCCUCUUGUGCACCUGGGAUUGAAGCUCCAUCCAAACUCAAAAGCAGAAGAGCUCAAGAAGAGCUCAGGCCACACACAUCCCUUUCUCGGUUUCUGUCUCUUUGAACAGGCAAAUAGUAUUUAUAAUUGUUGACUCCUGCCAACUUUUCCUUCACUCUCAAAUAUUUAAAUAAUGUGUGUAUGUAUGCAUAGGUUAUAUUUUGCAUACAUUGAGUUAUACUUUAAUUCCUGCAACAUGCUUUUAUUUUCAUCAUGAUGCUAUGUCUUAGGAAAACGUUCAGCCCAUGUUGAUGUCUCAUUAUUUUUAUAGGCCACAUAUAAUUUACAGUAUGGGUGUAUCAUAAAAUUUUACUAUUUUUUACAAAUACAAGAUUCUUGAAUGACAGUUAUUUUCUCUUGUUUUGUUAAAAAUGUCAUUAAACUGACUUCUGGUUUCCAUUAUGGCUGCUGGGUUUCAGCUGUCAGCUGAGUGGAUGGGUGGGAAGUCGUCUGUCUUGUCUCCUUGUUGUUACUACAUUUGCCCUGAUAUAUAAGGGCAUGAAUUUUUUUAAAAUUUAUUCUACCUCAGAAACUGUGUAUCUUGAAUCUAUGGGUUACUGCCUUUCAACAUUAUUAGGAAAUUUCUUGGCUAUUAUCUUUUCAAGUAUUUCCUUUGCCAUCUUUCCUUUCCUUCUAGAAAUCAGAUUAGAUACAUGUUAAAUCUGCAAUCUGUGCCUCUUAUUAAUUUAUUUAUGUUUCCCAUAUGUUGUCUCUUUGCAAUUCUUCAUUGUGUGUAGCUACUUUUUAAAGGAGGGUUCUACCAUUUUACUAACUAUCUCUUGUUGGGUCUAUUGCAUUGAGUCUGUCUGUUGAGCUUCAAAUCUAACUAUAAUAUUUUCAACAUCUAGAAAUUUUUUUUGGUCCUCUGUAAAUCUUCUUGAUUGUUUUUAUAGUUUCUUAUCUAUUGCACAUAUUUUUCAAGUUUAUAGUUUCCUCCUCUGGUUAUAGAGUAAACAUGGCUAUUUUUAUAAUUAAAUUAUUUUGAUAAUUAGUUAUUUUUUUGUUGUUUCAGAGGCUUCUCUCUCUUGGUGGCGGGUUUUCUUGUGUGCUUAGUGAAUUUUUACAUAGAAAAGUUUAUGUUCUUGGUGCGUGUGUUCAUGUGUGUGUGUAUGCACGUGUGUAUGUUUGUGUGUAUACAUGAACUUACUUGAAUAAGAAUGAAGGUGAUGGAUUCAUCUGUGAUUAUUUUUACCUUUGCAAUGCAUCUGAAAACCUUACCGACUCACAACAAUUUCAAGCCAAAUACUUGUUUUGAGUUUAAUAAAUAAACCUAUAUAACUUCAUUCGUUUUUAAUUGACAAAUACCAACUGCAUUUAUUUAACACAUGAAACAUGUUGCCUUGAAAUAUAUACACACUGUGGAACGAUCCAGAGCUUUUUUAGGCCCUUCAUUUGGGCAAUAAAUCUGUGGAGAGGAACAGCUUGUGAGUAUAAUUUGAGGCUUUUUUGGUUUUCUUCUUCUAAAACUGUAACCCUUUGGGGCCCUUUUACGGAAGGAGAACGUUCUGCUUUUGGUUGAUCUUGGCAUUCUUCAAACUACACAAAUGAGACAAAUAAAGGCUGUAGCUCUGGAAGAUGCCCUUAUGGGGUGAGCCAGCUUCUGUGUUCAUCAGUAAUUGUCUAGUUUUAGUAAUUUUUUAAUUGUUCUGUGGCUUCUUUUGCCUUUAAGAUAUGUUUAGUGCUGUUUCUCUGGCAUUUUAGUUGUUGUGAGUGGGCUUCUUGGUCUGGAAACUCAGCCAUCUAUGCUACCCUUCCACAAUUAAUUCAACCAUCUCAUUUCCACUGGAAAUUCAAUUUUUCCUCUAAUUUUUUUUCCUAUUAUAAAUCUGCCACACUGAAUAUAUGUCUUUGCCCACAUGUGAGUAUGCCUCUCAGGUAGAUGACUAUAAUUGGAAGUGCUGGGUGGAAGAGUAGGUGUAUUUUAAUUUAAUUUUGAUGCAGGAAGGCAUUACUAAUUUGUCAUCCCCAGAAUAGUGUAUGAGAAUGUUCUUUUCCACAACCUCUCACCAGCACUAGAUUUUCAUACUUAAGUAUUUAUGCAAAUAUCAUGGAUAAAGACAUAUAGUUGUUUUAACUUAGGGUUCUUGUUCAUUAAUGAGCUUUAUUAUCUUUUAAUUUCUUUAUUUAGCAUUUGUAUUUUUCAUUUUUUUGAAAUGUCUAUUUA